This 336-nucleotide unclassified non-coding RNA is filed under the name soil metagenome. RNAcentral describes it as "partial contains 5.8S ribosomal RNA, internal transcribed spacer 2, and large subunit ribosomal RNA". The stretch from base 1 to 120 matches the Rfam family "5.8S ribosomal RNA", at positions 35 to 154 of the family's 154-position model. The record is from RNAcentral.
GAUGAAGAACGCAGCGAAAUGCGAUAAGUAAUGUGAAUUGCAGAAUUCAGUGAAUCAUCGAAUCUUUGAACGCACAUUGCGCCCGCCAGUAUUCUGGCGGGCAUGCCUGUUCGAGCGUCAUUUCAACCAUCAAGCCCCAGGCUUGUGUUGGGGACCUGCGGCUGCCGCAGGCCCUGAAAACCAGUGGCGGGCUCGCUGUCACACCGGGCGUAGUAGAUUUUAUCUCGCUCAGGGCGUGCUGCGGGUUCCGGCCGUUAAAAAGCCUUUUUUACCCAAGGUUGACCUCGGAUCAGGUAGGAAGACCCGCUGAACUUAAGUAUAUCAAUAAGCGGAGGA